GAUAGAGAACCAACAAGAAUGGAAGCAAAGAAGUUGAAAUCUGAGGAAAUCUGAAAAAAAGUAUGGCUGACGACAUUUGUGAUAAGUCAUCAGCCCCGUGAUAAGCUAUCUGCUUCAUCGUCAGUAGUAGACAGAGAAUUGGUGUAAGUUAAAGCUAUCAUGACAUUUUGUGAUAGGUCGUCAAGGGUCUGAUAAGCUGUCAAGAAUGUCAUCAGCCUAAGGCAGCACAGGAGAACUGAAGUAGAGCCUUGAUGACAUUUUAUGAUAGGUCGUUAAGGAGCUGAUAAGUCAUCAAGAUUGUCGUCAGCCUUAAGCAGGAAGAGCCAAAAUUGAAGAAGGAGUUGAUGACAUUUGUGAUAAGUCGUCAGCUUCCUGAUAGGCUAUCACAAAUGUCGUCACCUAAUCCAAGGUAUUUCUGAAAUUUUAUUAUUUUGUUUCCUUAUUUAGGGUGAACAAUUUAAAGCCUUGUUUAGGGUUUUCUUGGAGAGGCCGAACCUUGAGUUUUGAGACAUAUACUUUGAUAUUUUCUCUCUCUAACUUCUUGGCUUGAAAGAGUAAUUAUUUUGAAGAGAAUUUAAUCAUUCUUUUGGGAUUUUCUGUUGUGAUCUACUAUGAGAUUCACUAGUUAUUGUUAAUCUUGUGGUAAGCUUAUCUUUCAAAGUAUGAAUUCAUCUAGUUGCUUUAAUUAUUACAUCAUGAGCAGCUAAAUUCCUUUAACCUGAAUUAUGGGAUCUAGGGUUAGGUCUUGAUAAGGUGCUGAGUGAUUAAGAUUCGAAAGGUGGUAGAACUUCUUGAUAAUUCUGAGGUUUUAAUUAACGUCUGUUGGUUGCAAACAACAGAUAAAACCUACUUUGAUUUGCUUGAGAAAGAAAUCAAAUAUAGUAGGAAGUGAAUUAUCAACAGGGACUUGGAAAUACUCUGUUUAAUAAUUAGCGCUGUUACAAGGUUGGUUAACCUGAGGUAAAAUCUGGGCAGUGAAUAUAAAUUCCCUAAGUCUGAGAGGAUUAGGUAAUUAAAUGCUUAAGUAGGUCGAGAGACAUUUAAGCACAACUUCGAUAAAGAUAACUUGUUGUCCUACAUACCGUGAGAUUCCUAAACCACUAGUAGCAUCCGUCAAGUACCAAAAUCCCUAGUGAACAUAAUUCUAGUUUUUUCAUAAGCUCUUGAUUACGAACAAUGAAACUAACGUAACCAAAAAUUAUUUGUUUGAUCAUCAAAAACCCCCAUUUUAUCUUUUUGUAUCAUUGGAUUGAAUUUAAGUUGUAGCUAUAGUUUCAAAUUAGUUUAAUCGCCACUCACAUUGUUCCCUGUGGGAUUUGACCCCAACCUAGUUGGGUUUUAUAUUGAUAACGAUAUCUUACAUUCUCAUUGAUAGGUGUAGUUUGAGCAUUAUCAUCUCAUAAUGUAGGUUCAGGUGCUCGGUCCCUGCAACGUGAGUGAUUUUGGGCAUCUCUAUCAAUAUCCCAAUAGUUGGUGAGUCCUCAUGGUUUGAGGCCCUAUUUAUCCGUACUUCCAUCUUUCAUAGUAUUUGAGUAGUUUCUUUUAGUUUAGUCCAAGUCAAUUGAGGGCUUUUCCCAAUGGCUCUCUAGUUUUUUAGUAGUAGAGGCUUGUCGGACUACUAGCUAUUAUAUUCAGAGUUUCAGUAUUAGUUACCCAGAUAGUAUAUUAAGUUGAUCUUAGAGAAUUUUGGUAUAAUUUAGUAUUUUAGCAUUACUAUCUGAUUAAAUUACUUUAAUAUGAGUUAUAGACUUAGUAGUAGGCUUACAGGGUUUGCUUGAGACUACUCGUAGUCUUAAGCACCAUGUGACGUCUCGAGUCUCGGUUUUGAGGCAUUACAAACUAGGUAUCAGAGCUUAAGUUUUAGAGAGUCCUAGGAAGUCAGACAAGCUUCAUUACAUAGAAUCUUGAUCAUGGGUAUGAAGCACACCACAUUAUGAGCAAGAGGCUACGGGAUGUUUUUAGGAAAUCAUCUCUUUCUUUCAUAAUCCAUCGUGCUUACAACUAUCUCUAUUUGCUAUUAACUUAUGAUCUUUCAUGACAGAACAUGCCUCCUCGUAGAGCUAAUGCUUGUAAGAAUGAUAACCAUACACCCCAACAUAUUGAUCCUCUGAAUAAGAAUGUGUCUCAUACCAAAUUUUGGGCUGCCUUUCAGGUGUUAGCCCAAACUGUGACUGCUAAUGUUUAGGCUAGUAAUCGGGCUGUAGUUCUGCAUCAAUAAAAGAGUGAUUUAGCUGCAGCCAGACUUCGUAACUUCAUGAGAAUGAAUCCGCCUGAAUAUUUUGGGUCACAGAUAGGUGAGGACCCACACUUUUAUUUUGAUGAUGCCCAAUUUAUGUAUGUUAUUGAAGAGGAGAAUGUGGAAUUAGAUUCUUAAAGGCUGAAGGAUGUUUCUUAUGAUUGGGUUGUUAUAUGGAAGAAAGGUAGGGGUGAGAAUGCAGCUUUCAUAAGUUGGCAGGUGUUAUAGGAUACUUUUCUAGACAGGUUCUUUCCAUAUGAGUUACGAGAAAUCAAGAUUAAGUAGUUCAUAAACCUGAGACAGGGCUCAAUGACAGUGAAAGAGUACUACCUUAAGUUUAACUAGUUAUCUAAGUAUGCUCCUGAGUUGAUAGUUGACACUAGAUCUAGUAUGAGUAAGUUUGUUACCGAAGUAUCUGGAUUGGUAGUCAAGGAGUGUAGGACUGCCAUGAUUAUUGGAGACAUAGAUCUUGCUAAAUUGAUGACUCAUGUCCAAUAAAUUGAGGCAGAAAAUUUGAAGGGAAGAGAUACAAGUAAUAAGAAGUAUAGAAUUGGGUAGUUUGAAUAUGGUCAGGCAAGGUCUGCAGGGGAAAUCAUUCGCAGUUUCAGAGUUGUCCGCCUUUGCCAUCUCCAUCUUCAGCUAGUGCCCCUAUACCCAGAACUAAGUAGGAAUAGUGAGGUAAGAUUUCUAUGUCCAGAUCUUAGAAUAUUUUGGGUGGAAGGACUAAUUAUCGUUCAUAUGCUAGAUAUGGUAAAAAUCAUCCUGGAAAGUGCUUAUUGGGUUGAACGGUUGCUGGGUUAGAAAUGAUGCUUUGGAUGUGGUCAGUUGGGCUAUGGUAUCAAGGAGUUCCCAUAUGCUAAGCAAGGAAGUAGGGAUGUUUGUCCCCAGACUCAAGCUACUAGUGCACUAGCUCUUAUAACUCGCCAAUCCCUCCUUAGGGCGCAUCAUCCAAUACCUGUGGCGGUCACUACCAAAAUUAUUUCUAUACUUUACCAUCCCAUCAGGAGUAGGAGAUAUCCCCAGAUAUUAUUACUGGUAUGCUUCGUGUCUUUCAUCUUGAUGUUUAUGUGUUGUUGGACCCCGGGUUAAAUUUCUCUUAAUGACCCCAUUGUAGUAAAUUUUGAAAUAAGUCCUGAAAAGAUCUCUGAGCCUUUCUUGGUUGCUACCUCAGUGGGUGUGUUAGUCGUUGCCAAAUAGAUUUAUAGAAAGUGUCCUAUAACUGUCCUUCAUAAAAUAAUGUUAGCCGAUUUAAUAGAGUUAGAUAUGGUUGACUUUGAACUUAUUCUUGGUAUGGAUUGGAUCUAUUCUUAUCAUGUAUCCAUAGAUUGUCACACCCGAGAGUUGAAGUUUUAGUUUUCAGAUGAGCCAGUCUUUGAGUGGAAAGGUAAUUCAGUAUCUCCCAAUAGUCAUUUUAUAUCCUAUCUUAAAGCUAGAAAGUUGAUAUCAAAAGGGUGUAUCUAUCAUCUAGUUUGAGUCAAGGACGCUAAGUUUGAGGCUCCAAACGUUCAGUCAGUCCGGGAAGUAAAUGAGUUUCCAAAAAUCUUUCCUAAAGAGUUGCCAGGGGUACCUCUCGAAAGGGAAAUAGAAUUCAGAAUUGAUCUUCUUCUAGAUACACAGCCCAUAUCCAUUCCUCUAUGUAGUAUGGUUCCCGCCGAGCUUAAAGAGUUGAAAGAGAAACUCAAAGGCCUCUUAGAUAAGGGUUUCAUAAGGCCCAGUAUUUCUCCAUGGGGAGCUUUCGUCCUAUUCGUGCGUAAGAAAGAUGGUUCUCUGUGAAUGUGCAUUGACUAUCGUCAGCUGAAUAAAGUCACAGUUAAAAACAAAUAUCCUCUCCCCAAAAUUCAUGACUUAUUUGAUCAACUCCAAGGAGAAAGUUAUUUUCCAAGAUAGACUAUAGAUUUGGCUAUCAUUAACUUAGAGUAAGGGGAUAUGAUAUCCCGAAGACAACUUUUAGAACCCGUUAUAGUCAUUUUGAAUUUUUAGUCAUGUCUUUUGGGCUAACAAAUGCCCCAACAACCUUUAUGGACUUGAUGAACCGUGUGUUCAAACAAUACCUAGACAUGUUUGUCAUAGUCUUUAUCAAUGAUAUCCUUGUCUAUUCUUGUAGUAAGGAUGAUCACGCAGACCAUAUUAGAAUGAUAGCAUUAGAGUUAAUCCCCAAAAGACUAAAGCAGUGAGAAACUGGCCUUGACCCAUUUCUCCAUCAUACAUUAAAAGUUUCUUGGGUUUAGCUGGCUAUUAUAGAUGGUUCGUUGAGGGGUUUUCAUCCAUUGUAUCUUAUAUGACUAAAUUAACUUAGAAGAAAUCUAAGUUUCUGUGGUCAGAUUCUUGUGAGAAGAGUUUUCCGGAGUUGAAGACUCAAAUCACUUCAGCCCCAAUCUUAGCUCUACCUGAUGGUACAUAUGGAUUCGUUGUAUAUUGUGAUGACCUUAGAGUUGGUUUGAGUUGUGUGUUUAUGCAGAGAAGUAAAGUCAUAGCCUAUGCCUCUAGACAGCUUAAGCCUCUCGAAAAGAACUACCCUACCUAUGAUCUUGAGUUAGCUGUUAUUGUGUUUGCAUUAAAAAUCUGGAGGCACUAUCAUUAUGGGGUGCAUGUUGAUAUGUUUACGGAUCACAAAAGUUUGCAGUAUGUGUUCACUCAGAGGGAGUUAAAUCUUCAUCAGAGAAGGUGGUUAGAAUUAUUGAAGGAUUAUGAUAUGAGUGUGUUGUAUCAUCCGGGCAAGGCUAAUGUAGUGGUAGAUGCUUAGUAGAUUGUCUAUGGGCAGUGUUGCUCACGUGGAAAAUAAUAAGAAAGAUCUAGUUCGAGAAGUUCACCAGUUAGCUAGAUUGGGUGUAAGGUUGGUUGACUCAGCUGAUGGGAAUGUUGGGGUUUGGAAUAGUUCAGAAUCUUCUCUAGUUUUUGAAGUGAAAGAGAAACAAGAUAGGGAUCCUAGUUUGGUCAAACUGAAGGGUUUAGUUAAAGACCAAAAGGUUCCAAAGAGGAGAUGGUGUGUUGAGAUACCAGAGUAGAUUGUGUGUGCCAUGUGUUGAUGAUUUGAGAUAGCAAAUUAUGGCAGAAGCGCAUAGUAUGUAUUAUUCCAUCAAUCCGAGAGCCACCAAGAUGUCCCGCGAUCUGUGGGAAGUCUAUUAGUGGAGUGGUAUGAAAAAGGAUAUUGCAGAGUUCAUAGCUAAGUGUUCAAUUUGUCAACAGGUUAAAGUAGAGCACCAAAGACCUGGUGGCACGUUGUAGGAUUUUGGUAUUCCCACUUGGAAGUGGGAAGAGGUGAAUAUGGACUUUGUGACUGGAUUACCCUAUUUGCUCCAUCAGUAUGAUUCGAUUUAGGUUAUUGUAGAUAGAUUGACUAAAUCAGCUCAUUUCCUAUUGGUUUACACGUCCUACACAGCUAAAGAUUAUGCUAAGUUGUAUAUUAGAGAGUUAGUCAGAUUGCAUGGAGUUCCUUUGUCCAUUAUCUUAGAUAAGGGUACUCAAUUUACCUUUUAGUUUUAGAUAGCCAUUCAGAAGGGUUUUGGUACCCAAGUUCAUCUCAGUUUAGCCUUUCAUCCGCAGACAGAUGGUCAGGCAGAGAGGACCAUUCAGACCUUAGAGGAUAUAUUUAGGGCUUGUGUUCUUGAUUUCAAAGGUAGUUAAUUGAUUGAGUUCGCCUAUUAUAAUAGUUACCAUGCUAGUAUCUAGAUGGUCCCAUUUGAGGCUCUUUUUAGAUGAAGAUGUAGAUCUACAGUAGGUUAGUUUGAAGUGGGUAAGGCCACUUUGAUUGGGCCAGAUAUGGUGUUUGAAGAUAUGGAGAAAUUUUAGUUGAUUCAAGAAAGAUUGAAAGCAGCUCAGAGUCAUUUGAAAUCGUAUGCAGACGUGAGAAGCAGAGAUCUUGAGUUUGAAGUAGAUGACCUUGUAUAUUUGAAAGUUUUACCCAUGAAGAGGGUGAAGAGAUUUAGCAAAAAAGGAAAGCUUAGUCCCUGAUAUAUAGGCCCCUACAGGAUUUUGAAUCGUGUUGGGAAGGUAGCGUAUAACUUGAGUUACCUGCAGACUUGUCCUCAUCCGGUGUUCCAUGUAUCCUUAUUGAAGAAGUGCAUGGAUGAUUCAGCUAUUGUAGUUCCUCUAGAAAGCAUAGAUAUUUGGAAUAGCCUCUCAUAUGAAGAAGUUUUAGUAGAGAUUCUUGAUCAUCAGAUUCAUAAACUAAGGAACAAAGAAGUUUCCUUGGUCAAAGUCCUAUGGUGAAACCAGCCGUUGAGGGCGCUACUUGGGAAACAUAAGCAGACAUGCAUGCCAAGUAUCCUCAUCUCUUCUCCACAAAUAUAGAUUCAGCCAAAGAUAACAGUCUUUCUUAAUUAAGUUCUUUUCCAAUCUCAGAUUCUGCCAUAUAGUUAUCUUCAUGUAAAUUAAUGCACUUGCAGAUUAGCUCAUUCGCUCAAUAUAUUUUAGAUUUAGUCUUACAACUCAUUUCAGUUGUGCAUGACAGCAUAUAGCCUUAGUUCCUCAGUAUUUUUGGCUUAACUAGUCUCAUUUGAGGACGAAUGUUCCCAAGAGGGAGAUAAUGUAAUACCCCAUACUUUUUCUAGCUAAAUUUAGCUCCUAAAAUGUCAAGGAUUAACUUCAAAAAUGAAUAACUCUUGGUACAUGCAAAAUUUUCAAGCUCUAGACCCACCAAUGUGUAGGUAAUUGACUCAGCUUUCCAACGAUACCAUUUUGCCUUAAUCCGAUACUUGGUUGAGAAGUUAUGGCAUUUUAGUAAAACAGUAUGGCAUUUUAACAGGCAGCACGUCUCAGUGAAUAACGAUUUUGCAAUUGUCAAAAAUUAGUAGAGCACCGCGAUUACGUCGCAUCACGAUGAAAGUCCAAUUUCCACUCGUCCUUUUUUCAGUGAGGCGAUGCGAUUUCAGUGCGUCGCGGCGAUGGACAAAAUGGGACUCGUCCCUUUUCCAAUAUCCCAAUGCGAUAGCCCUGCGUUGAUGGGCAAAAUCAGGAUCGUCUCUUUUCCAGUGAACCACCGCCAUAGUGGCGUAUCGCGGUGGGUGGCCAAAUUGGGAUUUUUCCAGUUUUUGAGUUAAAUUUUAAAAGGGCAAUUUAGUCAAUUCCCAAGCUCCAAGUCGUGAAUAACAUAGAUUAAACCUAUUCCAAGCAUUCUAAACUCACUUUUCAUCAAUCCUCUCUCAGAAAAACCCUAAACCUCAAAACUUAACCUUUAAGAAAUCAAAUUUCCUCCAUUCUAUUUCCAAGAUAGCUCAAAAUUAAAGAUUUCCAAUCUAAGAACUUCAAGAGGUCAUCUUCAAAACCAUAAUUAGGAAUUCUAGAUCAAGCUUUUUAUUCAAUUUCAUCAAUUAAGGUAUGCGGGAUUUUGAACAAGGAUAAAUCUUUCAUCCUUGUGCCCAAAACUAGUUUUAAAUUACAAAUUUACAUGACUUUAAAUGAAUUUCAAUUUAGGGUUCAUACCCAUUUAUUGAUAUUUGAAGAUUAUGAUGUUUUAAGUGUUUUUGGUGUUGCAUUACAUGUCUACUUUCGUAAAUUGAUGCGUAUCAUUAUAUUUUCUAGAUUUUGAAUUGAAUUAUCAAUAUUUACAUUAUCAAGCAUGGACGUUAUAAUAUUUUGACAUGAAUUUGAAGCAUGGGUUAUCGAGCCCUAGUUGAAUAUUUCUAUUUCAAGAAUGAUUAUGCUUUUAAGCAUCUCAGGAUAUGUUUAUAGACAACUUUGAAUAAAUAUUUAAUCUUUUGAUCUUUAUCUAAGAUAUGUAAUCCACUUUACAUCUUACAUUCAGUUUUGAAUGAACAAAUAUACAGUUAGCUUUCAAUAUAAAAUAUUAUGACUUUUAAAAAGUGGAUUUCCUUCAAAAUGAGCCUACAGAUUAAAGAGAGUAGUAUUUAGCACUGAGCAAAAAGUGUGGGUUUAGCGUAUCCUACUUUUCUAGAAAUACAAGCCAACGUAGGUAUAGAUCAAGUAUUCCCAUUUCUAUAUGGAUGACAGUUAUAGAUGUGAUUACUUAGCUCAGGUUAUACUCCUUGGCAAGAGUAUGAUACCUCUCCCCAAUAUAUGGUUUACCCCUUAGGGGAAAGAGACGUUGGACUCCACGAUAGCUCUCAUGAUUUAUGUCGGUUAAGAGAACCUCCCUAAUAGUAAAGAAUAACAAAACAGUUUUUAGCAUAAUAUAGCUUUCAGAAAAGAAUAGCUUUUAGACUUUAAAUGUGAUGACUUACCACAUUUAUGCAGUAUGUUUUAUCAUUCAUGAUUUAUAAUUUUUAGCUUUCAGUUAUUCUAUCCAUGUGAGUCAUUAUAUACAGCAUGCAUAUUCUAUGAAUUUUAUUAGUAGUAGAGGCUUUCAGACUAUUUUGUCUAAAGUAGAGACUUUUAGUGAAGGGCAAAAGGUUCAGACGCUAUCAAACCCUUCAUUAAAAGUAUCUUCUUUAGACAAAAUCAUCUUUUCAGUAUUUUUAUCUAAUAUUUAGGAGUUGAAAAUUAAUUAAAUAUAUUUAUGAUAAAAUCUUUCCUUAUUAAAAGUCCUCAGAGUUAAUGACAACUAAUAUUUUUUCAUUAAUUUAAGAAUUAUAACUCAACUAAAUUAGAUUUUAAGAAGAUUUGAAAAAUCUAUAAAUAAACAUAAAAGCGUUAUAUUAAAGUGUUAAGGAUUUUUAAAAAGUGUUUUGAACUUUUUACACUAUAUUAAAAUCUCCGCAAUAUAAUUGAUAAAAUUAUUUAAUUUUAAAUAAUCAAAAGUUACACGUGUGAGACACUUGUGGUUAAAUGAAACUAGUGUAUAUUUAUAUAUAUGUAAGAAAUAUGAAAAAAUAAAUAUAAGAUUUAAAAAAGCAACUAGAAAAUCAAGAAGGUUGGUGGACGUUUUAUUUUUUAGGCGGAACCUUAAAUAUUUGGACAUCAAUAUGUGUAUUCGAACCUCCUGGACACCCAUAACCCAAAAUCUUGAAUUCACCAUAGUAAUAGCAGUAGUAGAGUAGUAUAUGUUGGGUUCAAUUGGUGUGAAUGAAAAAUGGAGGGACCCAACCCUUUGAGGAAAAGACACAAUAUUUUGAAAAAAGGAGUGACUGUUCAGAAAAAGACACAAUGUUUUAAAUGAACAAACAUGACUCUCCCAAGAGAUACACCUUUUCGGAUGAACUAUUGCCACCUUUAGGAACAGGCACUUUAUGGCUAUAUAAACUUGCAUUUUUUUCACAGGUUUAGUAUGAAAAUUUUUUACAUAAGAAAAAAUAUUCUCUUGCUUCUAAAAACUCUGUGUGAUCAUCUCCAGUUGAGUGAGUUCGACAAAAACCAGAAAGUUUGAGGAACCGCUACAUUCCGGUUAUGAAUCCAUUUAUCCUUGGAGGAAAAUUUCACAACCUCGGAUACUUGAGGGGAAUUAUUUCCUUAAGGACACUCUGUGAAUUCGGAGGACUUGGCUUUUUUCUGCUUCAUCUAUUUUUCUUUAAGAAACUGAAAACACACUUCUUUGAAAGAUCAUUUUGGUCUUGUGUUGAAGGUGUUGGACAACUUCAUAAGUGUUCUUGAUUUAUUCUUAAACUUGUAUUUAAGUAGUAUUGCGAAAAUACAUAAAUUGUGUACUCGAAAUACAACAAUCUUAAGGAAAUAAUUUACUAAUCUGUAUUAUUUCGUUUAUUGGUUUUUUAGUAAAUAGUUGAACUUCAUAUUGAUAGGUCUUCAACUUUUUGAACUUGUGUAUGGAGUUCUUGAAACUUCAUUUUGAUAGUUCAUAAGUUGGUUGAACUUGUGGUGAAGUUCUUAACAUUUGGUUUUGCUAUUUUUCAUAAAAUAGUUUGAACUUCAUUUUGCUGAUGUUCAUAAGUUGGGUUGAAUUUAUUGUUAAGUCGUUCAGGUAUUGCUUUAGCAAUGAAAACAAUAGAGAAAUAGAAAAAUAUUUUGGUGUGAACUUUCAAAGAAUGGCAGCAAAUGAUGUCAUUUUGACCGGCCAAACUUGCAACAAUAAUAAUAAUAAUAAUAAUGAUUGGAAAUCAAUUGUCUGAUGUGAAAGAUCUUAUGAGUCAUUUCAAGAUAGACAAGGAUAAUGAGUUGAAUGAAAAAAUCAUCAAUGAUGGUUGCAAAUCCUGUUAAGGAUGAUGCUCCAAAUAAUAAGAAAAUGAAGAAGUCUUCUAGACAAGAACAGAGAUUAGAUAAACAUGUUGGAAAUAACUAGAAAGAUUGAAAAUCUAUGUGAUAUGAUCACUGAAAGCAAUCUAGUUGGAUAUCCAAAUGAAUGAUGGUUUAAUUUAGGAGCCACUAGACAUGUUUGAGCGGACAAAGAAGCUUUUGCUACUUAUGAUUCCGUUGGUCCCAAACAAGUGAUCUUCAUGAGAAAUAAUACAACAACCAAGGUUGAAAGAAGUGGGAAGAUAUUCCCAAAAGUGACUUCCGACAAGGUGUUGACUCUUAACAAUGUUCUCCAUGUUCCUACUAUUAGAAAAAACUUAGUGUCGAUAACACUUUUCAUUAAAAAUAGAUUUAAGUGUGUGAUUGUUUUGGAGAAAGUUGUAAUAAGCAAGAAUGAAAUAUAUGUAGGAAAGGGCUACCUCAAUGAGGGCUUUUUCAAACUUUAUGUAAUAGUUAUUGAAAUGAAGAAAGUUGAGGCUUCUUCUUACUUGCUAGAGUCAAAUGGUUUGUGGCUUAGUCGUUUAGGACAUGUCAACUACAAAACCUUGCAAAAAUUGAUUAACUAAAAAAUUGUGCCAAACUUUGAGUGCAAUAAAUCAAAAUGUCAAAUGUAUGUGGAAUCAAAGUAUGCCAAACAUCUGUAUAAGUCCAUUGAAAGGAAUUCAAAUCCCUUAGACUUAAUACAUAUAGACAUUUGUGAUAUGAAGUCAACACGAUCUCGUGGUGGGAAAAAGUAGUUAAUAACUCUUAUUGAUGAUUACACUAGAUACUGUUUUGUUUAUUUGCUAAACACUAAGGAUGAAAUAAUAGAUGCAUUUCGGCAAUAUAAAAUAGAAGCUGAAAAUCAGUUAGAGGAAAAGAUCAAAACAAUAAGAAGUGAUAGGGGUGGAGAAUAUGAAUCUUCCUUUGCACAAAUAUAUGUAGAGAAUGAAAUUGUCCAUCAAACUACGGCCUCGUAUUUGCCUCAGUCUAAUGGUAUUGCAGAAAGAAAAAAUCAAACCUUGAAGAAAAUAAUGAAUGCUUGUCUAAUAAGUUUAUGUUUACCACAAAACUUAUGGGGAGAAGCUAUCCUUACAGCUAACCGAAUACUAAGUAGAGUGCCCCAUAGUAAGACAUAAUCAGUUCCAUAUGAAAAAUGGAAAAGAAGGAACCAACUUGAAAUAUUUCAAAGUGUGGGGGUGUCUACCGAAGGUCCAAGUACCUAUGCCUAAAAGAGUAAGGAUAAGACCUAAGAUGGUGGACUGCGUGUUCAUAGGAUAUGCUAAAAGUAGUAAAUCAUAUUGGUUUUUGGUUUAUAAAUCCGAACAUCCGGAUAUCAAUAAAAAUACGGUAAUUGAAUCAGAUAAUGCUGAAUUUUUUGAACACAUUUUUCCUUAUAAAACUAGACAUGAACAGUCUAGUGGGGGUUCUAAACAACCUCAAGAUUAACCAAGUGAGGAUGUAAAUAAUGAUGAGAAUCCAAGAUGUAGUAGACGUCAAAGAAAGUCAACUUCGUUUGGAUAGAAUUUUGUAAUAUUUUUCUUCAAAAAUGAGCCUCAAAUGUUUAAGAAAGUGAUGUCAUCGUCAGACUCAUUCUUUUGAAAAGAGACAGUCAAUAGUGAAAUUUAUUCAAUCUUAAGCAACCAUACGUAGGAGUUGGUUGAUCUUCCUCCAGGAAAUAAACCCCUAUGUUCUAAAUGAAUUUUCAAAAGAAAAAUGAAAGCUGGUGGUGCUAUUGACAAAUACAAGGCAAAACUUGUAGUAAAAGACUUUAAACAAAAGGUAGGCCUUGAUUACUUUGACACAUACUCACCUGUGACAAGGAUAAUGUUAAUUUGGAUGUUAAUUACCUUAGCGGCGGUAUAUGGUCUUGAAAUCCAUCAAAUGGAUGUGAAAACAAUAUUUCUAAAUGGAGAAUUAGAGGAAAAAAUUGACAUUAAACAGUUUGAGGGUUUUGUGGUUCCAGAAAAAGAAAAUAAGAUGUGUAAACUCGGUAAGUCACUUUAUGGACUAAAACAAGCACCUAAACAAUGGCAUGCGAAGUUUGACCAAACCAUGUGGGCAAACAGAUUCAAGAUAAAUGUGUUAUAUUAAAACACACCAAAUUACGAAGUCAUUAUUUGUUUGUAUGUUGAUGACAUAUUGAUCAUCAGUAGAGAUAUUUCUGACAUAAAUGCUACAAAAUGAUUUCUCGAGAGCAAGUUUAAUAUGAAAGACCUUGGAGUUGCAGAUCUUCCCAAGGGUUGGCAUUUUCACAGUCUCAUUACAUUGAAAAGGUACUUAACAAAUUCAAGUAUUUGGAAUUUGGUAUUGCCAAGACUCCAUUGGAUGUGAGCUUUGCACUUCAAAAGAAUGAAGGUGAAAGUGACUCACAGUUGGAGUACAUAAGAGUGUUGGGAUGUUUAAUGUAUAUUAUAAAUUGUACACGGCCAUACAUAGCAUGUGGUAUUAGUAAGUUGAGUCGGUACAUGAGUAAUCCUAAUAAAACUCAUUGGAUGACAAUGAAAAGAGUUUUGGGGUAUCUUAAAUACAUUCAAGACUAUGCUUUGCAUUAUAAUAAAUAUCCUGCGGUACUUGAAGGAUAUAAUGAUGCAAAUUAGAUCACUGGAUCGAAAAUCCACGAGUGGAUAUGUAUUUACUAUUGGUGGAGGAGCGGUCUCUUGAAAAUUAUCCAAACAGAUAUGUAUUGCUAGCUCUACAAUGGAAUCGGAAUUUAUCACAUUAGAUAAAGUCGGUGAAGAAGCAGAAUGGCUCUAGAAUUUUUUGAAAGGUAUUCCUUAUUGACCUAAACUAGUGGAACCAAUAUGUAUGCAGUGUGAUAGCCAAGCGGCAAUAGGUAGGGCAGGGAGCAUGAUGUACAAUUAUAAAUCUCGUCACAUAAGACGGAAACAUAAUAAAGUUAGAGAACUUCUCUCCAGUGGAAUUAUCACUGUUGACUAUGUAAAGUCAAAAUAUAAUGUAUUGGAUCCACUUACAAAAGGACUGUUUAGAGAAGGAGUUGAGAGGAUAUCCAAGAGAAUGGGUUUACGGCCUAAGACAAGUCAGCAUGAUGGUAACUCUACCUAGCAGACUGGAGAUCCUAAGAGCUAGGUUCAAGGAGAUCAAAUAAAUUUGUGUCUGACAGGUUCAACAUUGUUAAUAUACCUAACCCAUUCUCAUGAUGUAGACAAUGUUUUGUAAACAAGUGUAAAACUUAUGGUGUGAAGUCUUUUAAUGAUUAUCUAAAUUUGGUAGAUUUGACCAAAUAUUUUAAUCUACAGGAUUGAACGUUUAGAAAUCACCUAUGUAAUGGCGAAGUCGAAGCCACUUUAAGGAGAAUGUUAGUAAAGGCCUAUUCUCUAAGCUCUCAUAAGACCGGAACGCGUUCAUAGCUGAAACGAACAAAACCGUGAGAACCAUAAACAAUAAAAGGUUGGUUGUAUGACGUGUUGUCUAGGUGUACAUUAAAGCUUGAUGGUUCAAAGAUAUCAAAUCUACCGAUUGACCGAGUGCAUCCGAUGCAUGUUCACUACAGAAAGUUCAAAGGAAACCCACUUAUCCAGAUGCAAUCAAUCUUUGCUUGAUGAUCACAUACUUGUCCAUAAAUUUUUAAAAAGAAUAGCCAUUCCCCAUUCAUGUGGGGCAUUGUUAGAUUCAAUUGGUGUGAAUGAAAAAUAAAAGGACACAACCCUUUGAGGAAAAGACACAUUAUUUUGGAAAAGGAGUGACUAUUCAAAUAGUUGUGUCUAUUUAGAAAAAAGACACAAUGUUUUGAAUGAACAUACAUGACUCUUCCAAAGGAUACACCUUUUCGGAUGAACCAUUGUCACCUUUCGAAAGGGGUACUUUAUGGCUAUAUAAACUUGCAUUUUUUCCACAGGUUUAGUAUGAAGAAUUUCUGCAUAAGAAAAAAUAUUCUCUUGAGAAAAAAGACACAAUGUUUUGAAUGAACAUACAUGACUCUUCCAAAGGAUACACCUUUUCGGAUGAACCAUUGUCACCUUUCGAAAGGGGUACUUUAUGGCUAUAUAAACUUGCAUUUUUUCCACAGGUUUAGUAUGAAGAAUUUCUGCAUAAGAAAAAAUAUUCUCUUACUUCUAAAAACUCUGUGUGAUCAUCUUCCGUUGAGUGAGUUCAAAGAAAACCAGAAAGUUUGAGGUACCGCUACAUUCUAGUUGUGAAGCUAUUUUAUCCUGGGAGGAAAAUUCCUCAACCUCGGGUACUUGAGGGGAAUUAUUUUCUUAAGGACACUCCGUGAAUUUGGAGGACUUGACUUUUUUAUGCUUCAUCUAUUUUUUUUUUAAGAAAAUAAAAUCACACUUCUUUUAAAGAUCAUUUUAAUCUUGUGUUGACGGUGUUGGACAACUUCAUAAGUGUUUUUUAUUUAUUCUUGAACUUGUGUUGAAGUAGGGAUGUGAAAAUACAAAUUUUGUGUACUCGAAAUACAACAGUAUGUGUGUGUGUAUAUAUAUAUAUGUAUGUAUGUAUAUAUUGCAAAUACCUCUUUUAUCUGUAUUAUGUUUAAUAAAGCUAUUAAUAUCUUUUAGUCUUAUGAGCGAACAAGUUUACUAACAAAUAUAACCGACACUUUUCACAAAAUGAAUUUAAGUUUGGUUCAUCGUUGGCGUAUUUUUUACUAUUAGGUAACUUUUACCUACUGUAGCAGGUCACCCAUUUCUCAAGGUAAAAAUAUAAAAUGAAUAGGCUACAAUAGGUAAAAGUCAUGAGAUGGUGUGAAAAAAAUACACCAUGGUACACCAAACUUAAACUCUUUCAAAAUACUCUAGCUGCCGACCUAUUCCAUAUCCCUAGCUUCAGUUGUCAUCAUAAAUACAAUGAGAUCGUUCGCUUCUCCUAAUCUUUCUUCUUCCAUAGUAUCGAAGUAAAUCAAUUUUUCCUUCUAAAGCACCUAGAAAUACCCAACCUUCAAACUGCAUGGAAUGUUUAGUUGAUAAAUCUCCCCGAUGAAAUAAUUCUAGAAAAAUAGGCCUGGAUAAAUUUAAUUCCGGCAAGUNNNNNNNNNNNNNNNNNNNNNNNNNNNNNNNNNNNNNNNNNNNNNNNNNNNNNNNNNNNNNNNNNNNNNNNNNNNNNNNNNNNNNNNNNNNNNNNNNNNNNNNNNNNNNNNNNNNNNNNNNNNNNNNNNNNNNNNNNNNNNNNNNNNNNNNNNNNNNNNNNNNNNNNNNNNNNNNNNNNNNNNNNNNNNNNNNNNNNNNNNNNNNNNNNNNNNNNNNNNNNNNNNNNNNNNNNNNNNNNNNNNNNNNNNNNNNNNNNNNNNNNNNNNNNNNNNNNNNNNNNNNNNNNNNNNNNNNNNNNNNNNNNNNNNNNNNNNNNNNNNNNNNNNNNNNNNNNNNNNNNNNNNNNNNNNNNNNNNNNNNNNNNNNNNNNNNNNNNNNNNNNNNNNNNNNNNNNNNNNNNNNNNNNNNNNNNNNNNNNNNNNNNNNNNNNNNNNNNNNNNNNNNNNNNNNNNNNNNNNNNNNNNNNNNNNNNNNNNNNNNNNNNNNNNNNNNNNNNNNNNNNNNNNNNNNNNNNNNNNNNNNNNNNNNNNNNNNNNNNNNNNNNNNNNNNNNNNNNNNNNNNNNNNNNNNNNNNNNNNNNNNNNNNNNNNNNNNNNNNNNNNNNNNNNNNNNNNNNNNNNNNNNNNNNNNNNNNNNNNNNNNNNNNNNNNNNNNNNNNNNNNNNNNNNNNNNNNNNNNNNNNNNNNNNNNNNNNNNNNNNNNNNNNNNNNNNNNNNNNNNNNNNNNNNNNNNNNNNNNNNNNNNNNNNNNNNNNNNNNNNNNNNNNNNNNNNNNNNNNNNNNNNNNNNNNNNNNNNNNNNNNNNNNNNNNNNNNNNNNNNNNNNNNNNNNNNNNNNNNNNNNNNNNNNNNNNNNNNNNNNNNNNNNNNNNNNNNNNNNNNNNNNNNNNNNNNNNNNNNNNNNNNNNNNNNNNNUUUUUUGCCUAUUAUUUUGCCACAAAUACUUUUGUUGUUAUUUAGUGUUUACCCAACAAACUGGUAUUAGAGUUAUGGUUUGCAAUAUCUGUAUUUUUGGGUAAAACAACUAAAGUCAACAUAAGUAGAAUAGCUAUUUAAAAUAGCUUUAAUUAUGCCAUUUGGAAGGAAAAAAUUAAAGAUUUUCUCUAUGUCAAGAAUUUUCAUCAGCCAGUCUUUGACACUAUAAACCCGAAAAUAAAAUUGAUGAAGAGUAGAAUCUAUUGAACAUUCAAAUUUGCAAUUUUAUUAGACAGUGGGUUGACAACAAUGUGUUGAACCAUAUUUCUUGAGAGAUAAUGCUCGGUCCCUAUGGGAGCAUCUUAAAGGUUUGUAUAUAUGCUUGAAAGAACAAAAAUAAUAAGAUGUUCUUGAUAAAACAAAUGUUGAGAUUAAAAUACCAUGAUGGUUCUCCGAUGAUAGACCAACUGAAUAACUUUCAGAGAAUCAUGAACUAGUUAAUUGCUAUGGGCAUUAAGUUUGAUAAAGAAAUUCAAGGCUUGCUUCUACUUCGUUCCCUACUGGACUCAUGAAAAAUAUUUAUUUCAUUAUCAAACUCUGCUCCUCAUGGCGUGAUCUCUAUGAAUUUUGCCAAGAGUAGCGUUCUUAAUGAAGAGAUGAGAUGAAAGUCUCAAGGUUUUUCUUCGUCUGAUACUUUGGUGACUGGCGCUAGGAGGAGAAGCAAGAAUCAUGGUGCUCAAAAUGGAGAACACCAUAGAAGCAAGUCUAGAGGUAAAUUUAAAGAUAUUGAAUGCUAUCAUUGUGGGUUAAAAGGGCACACAAAGAAAUUUUUCCAAAAGUUGAAGAAGGAGAAAAGAGCCAAGGAGGAAAAGAAAGAAGACGACAAUGAAAAUUGCAUAGCCACCAUCACCACCGAAGAUCUUGUUAUAGUCCUUGAUGUAAAUCUAAUAAAUGUUGCUUGUGAUAAGUCAAGCUGGAUUAUAGAUUCUGGUGCCGUAUCUCAUGUGACAUCAAGGAAGGAUUUUUUCUCAUCUUAUACUCAAGGUGACUUUGGAACCUUAAGUAUGGGCAAUGAGACUGUUUCUAAGGUGGUUGAUAUUGGUACAAUUUAUUUGGAAACUAAUACUGGAUCUAAAAUAGUUUUAAACAAUGUAAAACAUGCAUCCAAUGUUCGCUUACACUUAAUUUUUGUUGGUGUACUGGAUAAUGAGGAAUAUGUUAGUACCAAUGGUGGUGGAAAAUGAAUACUCAUUAAGUCUUCUUUGAUUAUGGCUCAUGGAGACAAGCGUCAUGGUCUAUACUGGACUACAGCUUCUACUUGUGCUAAUAUGGUAAAUAUAGUUGAAAGCAUUUGCUCUUCAACGUUAUGAUAUAAGAGGCUUAGCCACAUUAGUGAUAAAGGACUUAAUGCUUUGGCUAAGAAGAAAUUACUGUUGGAUUUUGAAAGUGCUAAAUUAAAAAAAUGUGACUGCUUGAUUGAAAAACAAAAUAAAGUUUCUUUCAAGUCUUAUCUUUCCUUCAAGAAAGACAGAGUUGCUUGAGCUGGCAUUUGCAAAUUUAUGUGGUGCUUUGGCUAAGAAGAAAUUACUGUUGGAUUUUGAAAGUGCUAAAUUAAAAAAAUGUGACUGCUUGAUUGAAAAACAAAAUAAAGUUUCUUUCAAGUCUUAUCUUUCCUUCAAGAAAGACAGAGUUGCUUGAGCUGGCAUUUGCAAAUUUAUGUGGUCCAAUGAAGACAAGGACUUUAGGUGGUGUACUUUACUUUGUCACUUUCAUUGAUGAUUGCUCAAAGAAAUCUUGGGCCUAUGUCUUGAAGACUAAAGACCAAGUGUUGGGUUUCUUUAAGCAGUUUCAAGCUUCUGUUAAAAGGAAAAUAGGAAAGAAGUUGAAGUGUAUUCGUACUGAUAACGGUGAUGAAUAUUGUGGACCAUUUGACGAAUACUGCAAGCAACAAGGUAUCAGACACCAUAAGACUCCUCCUAAGAUGCCUAAACUUAAUGGUUUGACGGAAAUGAUGAACAGGACCUUGAUGAAAAGAGUCAGAUGUUUGCUUUCUGAAGUAAAGUUGCCGAACUCUUUUUGGGGUGAGGCUUUAUUGACUGUUGCACAUGUUAUUAACCUAUGUUCUGCUGUUGCUUUACAAAGUGAUGUAUCAAAUAAAUUUUGGCGUGGAAAAGAUGUUUCCUAUGACCAUUUAAGAGUUCUUAAUUGUAAAGCUUUUGUACAUGUGCCCAAAGAUGAAAGGUUAAAGUCAGAUACCAAGAUAAGGUAAUGCAUCUUCAUUGGUUAUGGCCUUGAUGAGUUUGGUUAUAGGCUAUACGAUCCCAUUGAGAAUAAUCUUGUAAGAAGUCGUGAUAUUAUCUUCAUAGGGAAUCAAACCAUCGAAGAUAUUGACAAAGCGGAGAAGCUAGAAUCUUCAAGUUUUGAUGGUGUGGUUAGUCUUAAUCAAUUUCCUCCUACUAGUUUGCAUGAUGUUGGUGGGCGAGAUAAUUAUAGUGACACCCAGAACCAUGUUUCAAAUCAGCAUGUUAAUGUUGAUAAUGAUAACAAUGUUGUUGUUGACGAUGCUUCAGUUCAAGAAGCUGUGGAUGAGUCAAAUACUCCGCUAAGAAGGUCUAGAAGACAACGUAUUUCUUCUUUUCAUCAUUCUCCUAAUGAGUAUGCAUUACUCUCUGACGGGGGAGAGCUUGAAUGUUAUGAGGAGGCCAUGGAAGAUGAAUAUAAGGAUCAAUGUAUUGAAACCAUGCAAAAGGAUAUGAAAUCUUUGUAUGAGAACCACACAUAUGAGUGGUGAAAUUGCCUAAGGGCAUGAGAGCUUUGAAGAAUAAGUGGGUGUUCAAAGUAAAGUUUGAAGAACACAAUUUGAAGCCCAGAUACAAAGCUAGAUUGGUUAUCAAAGGGUUUGAUCAAAGGAAGGGUAUUAACUUUGACGAAAUAUUUUCUCCCGUUUCAAAAUGACCUCUAUUCGUACAGUUUUAGUUUGGCUGCUAGUCUUGAUUUAGAGAUUGAGAAGAUGGAUGUGGUGAAAUCUUUUCUUCACGAUGACAUUGAAGAGAAGAUUUAUAUGGAACAACCUGAGGGCUUCAAGGUAAAAGGGAAAGAAAACUAUAUGUACAAACUUAAGAAGAGUCUUUAUGGCUUGAAGAAGCUCCCAAACAGUGGUAUAAGAAGUUUGAAUCUGCCAUGGGAAAGCAAGGUUACAAGAAAACCUCUUCAGAUCAUUGUGUAUUUGCACAAAAUUUUCUGAUGAUGAUUUUAUCAUCCUUCUACUAUAUGUGGAUGAUAUGUUAAUUGUGGGCAAGAAUGCUUCCAGAAUUAAUGAGUUGAAGAAAUAAUUAUGCAAAUCUUUUGCUAUGAAACACUUGGGUCAUGCUAAGCAGAUUUUGGGCAUGAGAAUUACUUGUCUCAAAGAAGAAAAUAAGCUUUACUUGACAUAAGAGAAGUACAUUGAACGUGUGCUAAAGCGCUUCAACAUGAAGAAUGCUAAAGUUGUUAACACACCCCUUCUGGUUAUAUGAAACUGAGCAGGAAAAUGUGUCCUGCAACGAAGGAGAAAAAAAAGAGCAUUGUUAAAGUUUCAUAUUCCUCAGUUGUCGAAAGUUUAAUGUAUGGAAUGGUGUGUACGAGACUCGAUAUUGCUCACGCAGUUAGUGUUGUCAACAGAUUUUUUGAAAAUCCAAGAAAGGAGCAUUGAGAAGCAGUCAAAUAGAUAUUAAAGUACGUAAGAGGAACCUCAAGUGACUAUUUGUGUUUUGAAGGAUCUGAUCUAAUCUUAAAAGGAUAUACAGAUACUGAUAUGGAAAGUGACCUUGAUAACAGAAAAUCUACUACUAGAUUUUUGUUUACAUUUUCAGGGGGAGUUAUAUCAUGGCAGUUGAAGUUGCAGAAGUGUGUCGCACUAUCUAUAACUGAUACUGAGUAUAUUGCGGCUAUUGAAGCUGGCAAGGAAAUGAUAUGGCUCAAAUGAGUUUUUCAAGAACUUGAAUUGUAGCAAAUGGAUUACGUUUUCUAUUAUGACAGUCAAAGCGCAAUAAACUUGAGCAAUAAUUUCAUGUACCAUGCAAGAACAAAACACAUUGAUGUAAGGUACCAUUGGAUUCGUGAACAGGUGGAGAACGAAUCUUUCUAUGUUAAGAAGAUUCACACGAGUGAAAAUCCCGCGGAUAUACUGACAAAGGUGGCGCCAAAAAAUAAGUUCAAAAUGUGCAAAGAGUUUGUUAGUAUGAGCGCUCUUUGAGAAGAAUGAGAAUACCUCCUUCAAAUGCAUGGGACUGCAGGGGGGAUUUGUAGGGUCCAUCCCCAUUAAUGCCAUUGAAAAAAUUGUUCAUGACAUGGCUUAUUUUCAAAGAGUUUGAUAGAUAUAGGUUGGCCACCAACCAAUUAAUCCAUUCAUAUGAAUUUUUUCUUGAGUAAAGAUGUCACCAACGACAUCAGAACAAAACAUCUCACUGAUAUAAAUAGAGAGAUUUGGCUCAUUUGGAGAAUACACCAAACAGAGGGAAAAUAAUAUAGAGCAGUGAGGUAUUCCAUAUAUUAAUUAAAAUAGUCUGUAAGAAAAAAAAUUAAAGUGAGCGAUAUUUUAGUAAGGUAGGGGUCAAAAGAGGGUUAUUUCUUUUGAGUAUGUAGUAGUUACUUUGAGUAUUGUACUUGUGAUUAUGGUGUAAAAACUCUUUACUAUAGUAAUAUCAGUUGCUCCUCUUGGUCUGUGGUUUUUUCCUUAUUUAAAAGGGUUUCCAUGUAAAAUUCUUGAUGUCAUUAUUUUUAUUUAUUUUCCUAUUAUUUUACCACAAAUACUUUUGUUGUUUUUCUGCGUUUAUCCAACAGUUCUAGAAAUAAUAGAACCCGCGUAAAAUUAAGACGUCUUACAAUAAAUUUCAUCAAAAUUUAGAUAAUUUAAGAACAUUUUCUUUUUUUUUUAAUGUAGUAAAGCAGUGAGGGGCGGCAGUAUCGAAAAUGGGGUAGCAACAACGAGGCAAUCAUGGCGGGUGGGAAGGGAACAAUGUAAAUUAGAGUUUGUGUGCCACAGAAGAUUAAAAUUUAUUGAAAGUUGUACUCCCUCCGUCUCAUUUUACCCGUUUCAAAUUGGGAUGACACAGCUAUUAAGAAAAUAAUGAUUGAUAAUGUAACUUUAUCAUUUUGUCCCUCUUAAUUGUGUCUUAUUGUUAGUUCCAAUAUUGAUGGAUGACUAAUACUAAAUCACCAUUUCUAUUCUUAAUGGUGUACUUUCAAUGGUACUCCUCCUUUGCAACAUUUUUCAAGAAUGUUAAUAAUAAAGAGUAAUCAAUUACACUAAGGAUAUAAUGGAAUAAAAAAAUUAUCUUAUCUUGAUAAGUUAAAAAGGACAAGUAAAAUGGGACAACAAAUUAUAAGAUUUGGGACGAGUAAAAUGGGACGGAGGGAGUAUACAUUUUGUAAAUUUUAUUGCUACUUUUAGAAGUUAGAAGUUAUAAAUUUUUAUAGCAAGAAAAUUGUCCUCAGAUAGUGGGUGCUUAAACUUAAAAAAUUAAAAAAUUACCACAGUGAGGUCCGAAUCCGGGGCCUCCUUCCAAUGGAGGACCUUAAAAUCAACCUAAAUGUUGAUGCAUCCAAUAAUUUUUUUUGUUAUAAUGUGUGCUUUUAUAUGUUUUAUACCUAUUUUCCUUUAUUUUUUACGUAAUUAUAUUUAUUACGCGUCGAAUUUAGUGGGUGCCGAAGCACCCCAAAAUCCUACAUAGGUUCGCCCUUGGACAUAAACUCAGGGGCAGAGCCAGCCUGUGUAAUGGGGGUUCACCGAAUCCCCUUUGACAGAAAAUUACUAUCUAUACAUUAUUAAAACCAUAUUUUAUUUAUAUAUAAUAGAUGUUGAACCCCUUACGAUUAGUUUUUCUUCAAAUUUUGGAUCCCUUCGUGAAAAUUUUGACUCCGCCUCUGCUGAUAAACUCAGCUAGAAAGAUAUAAAGGUCAAAUAUUAAGGUAGAAAUUUGUUAGUUAGUCGACCGUUGUCUAGUCUUUCUUAUUAGUAUUGUUUUAUCGCUCAUAUAGUAUUUUGUAUUCUUCCAUUUUAUUAUUAUCUGACAUUCUUUGCUUCGGUACCGUAUUACGUAUUAUUGAUACUGUUCUCUUCUCCGUUAUACUGAUCAACAUGACUACUUUACUAUUACGUUUGCUUUUUCAUAUUUGAUAUUAUUACGCGUUACUUGAUCUAUGGGUCUAUCAUAUACAAUCGUUCUACCUUUAUAAGAUAAAAAUGAGAGUACGUACGCAUCACCCUCUCCUAACUCCACUUGCUCGUUUCUUGGGCUAACAACCAUCAAAAAUCGCAAAAAAUCUGCAACCCUUGCCGUUUCGACCGUUUACUUGAAAAAUGACUCCCCCGACCCCUUCAAAAUAACCCGAUUCAUUUAAUAGAUCGCCAGGAACUACCUGAGUAGUUUUGUCCAGAACCUUUUUCGAUCCUGAUCCAACUAGAGGGGUCUGAAUUAGCUCCUCCCGAUCGUAUCUCUCCCGAGAGGAAAGAAAAGAUCUUUAGAAUACAUGAAUAAAAUUUCUUUUCCUAAAUUUGAAAUCGAAAGUGUUCAAUUAAUAUAUGAGCAUUUUAUCAUAUGUUUAAAUGUUUUAUUAAAACAUCAUGAUUCGACUGUUUAAAUGAAAUUUAAUAACAAUGAGAUUGCGUACGCAUCACCCACUCCUAACUCCACUUGCCCGUUCUAUGGGCUAACACCCAUCGAACGUCACAAAAAAUCUGCAAAUCGUUACAUUUCUGCCGUUUGACUUGAAAAAUGAUUCCCCCAACCCCUCCAAAACAAUCCGAUCCAUUUAAUAGAUCAUCAGAGAGGACUGCUACCCACACCAAGAUAUCACACCAUAUCUAAAUUGAUUUUAGGGAAAUGGAUUGAUUUAACACUUCCUUAGGAAUUUGUACAUAUUUGAAACCUAAGUUGACACGUUAUUUAGUACUAACUACUUGUAUUUUUUAAAAAUUAAUUUUUGUAAUAAACUUAGUACUUAAUUUCCAAUGGGUAAAGACUCAAAUCUUUUCCAUGAUAUAUUAAAUCAAGAAAAGAUCAAGUCAAAAAAUUUAAUAAUAAUAAAAAGUACGUAUACAUGUAGUUUGUUUCAUCCAAUAAAACAUCUUUUUAUGAUCUGUCAACUUUAUUUUAACCUUAAGAUGUAACUAAGUAGAAAAAAAGUGAUUUUUAUUGGAUUUUGAAAACUUUGAAAAAGUUGUAAGAAUGUACAUGGACUUGUAAAAUCAUUUCUACGAAAAAAUUAAUAUAUUUUAUGUGGUUAAAUUUAAUAAACACACGCGCUUUAUUUCUCUGUGGUUUGCGUGGAACUGAUAACUCGAAUCAUUUGUAGACUGAACUCUUUUCUCUUUAGUCUCGCCUAGGUUAGGGAACUCGCCUCCUUCACUGCCCUCCGAUCGGAUGAAUGGAGGACCAAUCGACAUGGGUUUUCACGAGCGGUGGCGGGGUUCUGGAGUGCAUGUCAAAGGCGCGGAGGGUGAUCAUCACCAACUGCACAUCACAUCUCGGCACGGUGGAACAUAUAAUCUGCUUGUCGUUCCAUUCAACUACAUUUGCUCCAUUCACUCGAAUUUCCUCCGUCUCAUCGAUUUUGUUCGGAUCCGACCAAAGGGUUUGAAUUAGCUUCUCCCGAUCGUAUCUCUCCCGAGAUGAAAGAAAAGAUCUUAAGAAUACAAGAAUAAAAUUUCUUUUCCAAAAUUUGAAAUCAAAAGUGUUCAAUUAAUAUUUAAGCACUUUAUCAUAUGUUUAAGUAUUUUAUUAAAACAUCAUGAUUUGACUGUCCAAAUGAAAUUUAAUAACAAGUUUAACAGAUUAUCGAUGUAUUAAACAUAUUUCAAAUCAAGAAAAGAUCAAGUCAAAACAUAGCUAACAUUUUUUUUUUAAAAGAAACAUAACUUAAUUUUAACAAUAAAAAGGCUGCUAAUUUGUAAGUAAUUUGUUUAAUCCAAUAAAAACAUCUUUUUACUAUACGUCUGCUUUAUUUUAACCUUCUCUUUAAGAUGUAACUAAGCAGAAAAAAGGGAGAUUUUCAUUGAAUUUUGUAAAAAUAAAAAUAAAAUGUUGUAAGAAUAUAAUAUACUACAAGUAUAUUAUAGAAUCCAACAAUUUUUACACAUAGCAUAAAUUUAUCAAAAUUGUGAUAAAUAAUAGAUACACACCAUAAUUUUUAAUAUAUAUAAUUGAUUCUGCGUUAAAAAUCUUAAAAUAUUACACUCAUUAAAGUUAAAUUCUAAAUCCGCGACGGUUAAAAUUAUUUGUAUAGAGUGUAUUAUAAAGGGUGACAAUUCGAAAAAAGAGAACAUUGAUAAGUCAAUCAAUAAAGUGUAUUUUUUCUGAUGUAAAUACUUGUAUGAUUAAUAAUCAUUAUCAUAAGUCACUGUAAAAAAUCUCAUAUAGGGAUAAGGUGUUAGCAGACAAUCUAUUAUUUUUUUUAUGUUUGGUCAUUUAUUGGGAGACAGGUCAUUAAUUAUUUUUAAAAAAAUAAAGGGGAGAAAAAUAAGAAAAUUUAUAGAAGAAAUUAAAACCACAGGAAAAUGAAAAAUUCUAUUAACUAGAAUCCUUGGAUUCGAGCGCUUAAGCAAUAACCGCUUUAGUGGUCAGACAUGGCUUAAGUAGUAGCUGCUUUAGCGGUAUAGUAUUGCUUUGGCAGUAGCCGCAUAAGCGGCAAUCGUUGUAUAUAAACCUCCACUUUUUAUGCCUUUUCACUAUUUUUUGACUUUGAACUUCGGAUUUGGGCAAUUUUUAGAGUUUUCAUCACCAUUUGAGCUUGGGCAAGCUCCAAAACCAUAAUUUUAUUACGUUACAUUGAUUUACAUCAUCAAAAUACUCUUUAAGCUUGAUUUUAACUUGAGAUUUUGAGGAUUUUCUUUGGAAAAGCUUAAAAAUAAUUUCUCUUUGAUUUGAAUAUCAUUUUAAACUCGUUUUCAUGUGGAUUUUGAACUGAAGAUUCUUUUAACCUUGGGAAUUGUAUUUCUAAAAAAUAAAUUUGAUUUUACCCUAUUUAUUUUUUAACUCAUCUUUUGAAUCCAUUUAGUACCGAACUCAAAUAUGUGCAUUAUAGGUGUCAUUAGUUUUUUAAUACGUAGAUGCUAUAUUUAAAUGUUGUAGUUGAUUCAGGGGAUCGUCUGAAAGAAAAAAGCUUUGUGUUGAAGUACUUUAGGCUUGGAGUUAGGGGUUGAUAUGAUAUCAAUAAUGUCUUACAUGCAUAUUUAUUUCAAUGGACCUAGUUGGAGUUGAUAAUCAUGAAUUGAACAUAAAUUGAUUUGAUUUCGGUGCUCACACACACACACACACAUAUAUAUAUAUAUAUUGAAUGGAUUAGAUAUCUUUAUUCUUAUUUGAUUGUAAGAAUUACAUUCAUAUCCCAUACAUAUACAUUCAUGAGAUACCGGUAUAAUUGAGGAACACUAAUUUGAAAGAAAAUGAGAUGUUUUUUAUAAAACCCCUCUUCGUGAAUACUAGCCGAAGAGGUGGUUUGAUAUUUGAGAUAUGUGUUAUAGUAUAUGAGUUUCAAACCCUAUAUGAAUCCUAUCUUGGGAGCUGUAAGCUUGAUAGGUGUACACAGAAAGUCAGGCGAUGACUUUCACUAUUCAUCUCAUCAUCAUUGCAUUGCAUAUACAUCUUUCAUAAUUAUUUUAGUUUUCCUUGACUUAGUUUUAGCUCCCAUAUAAUUUUCAUGUAUAUUUGUAUUAUUUCAUUUCAGUAUUUGUAUUAGAACUAUCACUGGAGGGGGUGUGAGCUACCAUUUGGGAACUUUUCUAUUUGCAGGUGGCUUGCUCAUAGUUUUCUUUACUUAUAUUAUUUUCUGCUUUGCUCAGUUGGCCUAUGAUACUUAAUGAGUAUAAGUGGACUAUACUCACUCCUACUGUGUCCUUUCGGUGCAGAUCCUAGCACGAGUAUGACAAAUGGAGGCCGAGGUUGUGUAAUUGAGUUGGUGAUUUUUCGAGGUACUAGAGUGCUCUAGAGUUCAGAGUUACUUUUUUAGGAACUCAUCCUAUCUUCAUUUAUGUCAUUUUUAGAAACAAACUAAGUAUUUUCAAAUUCGAUUAUGUAUUAGAUGCUCUUACAUUUGUGACACUAGAUUUUGGGGGGAUUUAUGUUACUUCUUCAGACAUCUGCUUUAUUUAUGUUUUUUCUUAUCUUAUUUCUUAUUAUAUGGAGAUUUUCUUUCGAUUUUGGGGUAUUGGAUUAUUUGUCAAGGUUAGGCCGUAACAAGUGCGAUCAUGACCUCAUUUUUGGGUCAUGAUAAAUUAGUAUUACAAUUCUAGGUUCACUGAUCUCAUUAGAAUAAGAGUAGGAUAUCUAGUAGAGUCUCAUAGAUCAGUAAAUAGACGUUUAUAUCUAUCUUCGAGAGGCUAUAAAAUACCUUUAUGAAAUACUUCUCUAAUUUGAUUUCUCAUUGAGCGGGUUGUUCAUACCCAAUAUUCUAAAUUUAUAUUCUAUUUUUUUAUAUGCAGAUGGUGAGGACUAGGCACAGAGAUGCUAGGGACAAGGGUCUUGGUCGACCUAGAGGUAGAGGAUGGGCAAGAGGAGUUAACCCAGCUAGAGGACGUGCUAGGAAGGUCUCUCCUAAUCCUGAGGUUGUGUACUCUAGGGAUAAUUGUCAAUAAGGGGGUGCAACACCAACUCAGUUUCCACAGAGUUUAGUCAAUAUCCUAGUGCUUCAGUGUCUUUUCAUUUGCCC
This 26890-nucleotide long non-coding RNA is filed under the name Capsicum annuum. Its description in RNAcentral is "long non-coding RNA (CANN_LNC011758)". The record is from RNAcentral. Lineage: Eukaryota; Viridiplantae; Streptophyta; Magnoliopsida; Solanales; Solanaceae.